Molecule: unclassified non-coding RNA, 504 nt
Filed under: Artemisia cana
Lineage: Eukaryota; Viridiplantae; Streptophyta; Magnoliopsida; Asterales; Asteraceae
Description: partial external transcribed spacer
Source: RNAcentral
UUCCUGAUUUUCCCAUCGUUCGGGGCAUUCUGGGGCUGUUUUGGCUAUUGGUUGCUUGUUUGGUCUUGAGCUGAACGGGUGGCUUCUAGCCUGGUGGCUUCGGGGAUGUUGACCGUAAAGGUGGAUGAGUGGUGUUUGGUUUGUUACGUGUGGUUGGCUGCGGCGUUUGCAACAACUUCCAUGCUUUCAGACCUCUUCAUUUGUGCGGCAAGGCUUGUAUCGCCUUGAGCGUAUUGUGGGGUUGCUGUGUUGAAUACCUAAUCAAUGGUAUCGGUUGGAUUGAUCAAUGUUUCAUUUCGUCUGUCGUCGCAUUCGCGGCGUGAGAUGAACCUUGAUGCGGUCUCUUUGAUCCACCUCGUUGAAGCGCAUGCUUUGACGUUGUGGCGCAUUGAGCAUUGCUUGGUCUCUUGCAUACGGAACAUGUAGCGGGCAUGAAUCUAACGGUUCUUGUUUGCCCUCAUAUUAGCGUAACGCUUCUCUUACACGACUUGCUCCACGUUUUAG